This is a long non-coding RNA of Oncorhynchus tshawytscha (Chinook salmon), 454 nucleotides long. NCBI's taxonomy places the organism in Eukaryota, Metazoa, Chordata, Actinopteri, Salmoniformes, Salmonidae. The record is from Ensembl.
UGAGAUGGGGAGGAGUGGGGGCCAUGUUGUUCUUAGAAUGAGAUGGGGAGGGAGUGGGGGCCAUGUUGUUCUUAGAAUGAGAUGGGGAGGUAGUGGGGGCCAUGUUGUUCUUAGAAUGAGAUGGGGAGGGAGUGGGGGCCAUGUUGUUCUUAGAAUGAGAUGGGGAGGUAGUGGGGGCCAUGUUGUUCUUAGAAUGAGAUGGGGAGGUAGUGGGGGCCAUGUUGUUCUUAGAAUGAGAUGGGGAGGGAGUGGGGGCCAUGUUGUUCUUAGAAUGAGAUGGGGAGGGAGGGAGUGGGUGCCAUGUUGUUCUUAGAAUGAGAUGGGGAGGGAGUGGGUGCCAUGUUGUUCUUAGAAUGAGAUGGGGAGGGAGUGGGGGCCAUGUUGUUCUUAGAAUGAGAUGGGGAGGGAGUGGGGGCCAUGUUGUUCUUAGAAUGAGAUGGGGAGGGAGUGGGGG